Molecule: long non-coding RNA, 780 nt
Filed under: Panax ginseng (ginseng)
Lineage: Eukaryota; Viridiplantae; Streptophyta; Magnoliopsida; Apiales; Araliaceae
Description: long non-coding RNA (PGIN_LNC001744)
Source: RNAcentral
GCUCGUAUUUUUUCUAGUCGAGUCGAGUCCGAAUCGAGCUCGAACUGUUUGGCUCGUUGUCAAUACUCCUAUUUAGUGGUGCAACUCAGUGAUGGAAGACGGUAAAAAGCUGAAGGUUACUAGUGUGGUUUUCAAUGAUACAAAACUUUAGAUGGCUUAAGGCUAAAAUCCAGAUGGUUUAAUACGAAAAAAUUGUUUGCAAGUAAUAGUAGAAUUGCUUUAUGUUGACAUUUUCGUCUAAAUUUCGAUGUAACCCAAAUUCCUCUCAAAAUUGGCCAUAACAGCUUAUCUUGACAAGCUUUCUGUAAAUGCACUGGAAGACAAAAAUGGUGGGGAACAUGUGUGACAAUCUGAGGUUAUCCUUGCAUCUAAUUUAGGUUUCCUAUACCAUAUAUGAUAUAUCAACGUCUUAGUUAGCAUAAUAGACGAUGAGCUAUGUGUUAUUAUCUUGAAAGUAUCAACGCUUGGUUUUUAGAGCUUUUUUAAUUAAACCAGGUCUUCUAUGGCUACUAUAAUAGCGCAGUAACGAAUUCUGAGAUAAAGAGCAUUAUUGUACCAUGACACUAAUAUUGUGAUUAGUGAUGUGUUGCUAUGUUUUUUAAAGGAAAAUAUUUCAGAUGUUCAAUCACAAUUUUCAUAUUUGAAAUAGCUCAAUGUUAAUUAUACAACAUUAUUGGGAAAGUUGGAUGUAUGCAUAUAAUUUGUCCUAAAAGAUAUGUUAUCUCCAUUACCCCUCUAAUAUGGAUAAUAUGCUAUAUAUUAGUAUAACAUUAUUUGCAG